RNAcentral lists this ribosomal RNA (360 nucleotides) under uncultured bacterium. Its description in RNAcentral is "bacterial SSU rRNA". It matches the Rfam family "Bacterial small subunit ribosomal RNA", at positions 29 to 416 of the family's 1533-position model. The record is from RNAcentral.
AACGAACGCUGGCGGCAUGCCUAACACAUGCAAGUCGAACGAAGCCUUCGGGCUUAGUGGUGCACGGGUGCGUAACGCGUGGGAAUCUGCCCUUGGGUUCGGAAUAACAGUUAGAAAUGACUGCUAAUACCGAAUGAUGUCUUCGGACCAAAGAUUUAUCGCCCAAGGAUGAGCCCGCGUCGGAUUAGCUAGUUGGUGAGGUAAAGGCUCACCAAGGCGACGAUCCGUAGCUGGUCUGAGAGGAUGACCAGGCACACUGGAACUGAAACACGGUCCAGACUCCUACGGGAGGCAGCAGUAGGGAAUAUUGCGCAAUGGACGAAAGUCUGACGCAGCCACGCCGCGUGAGUGAGGAAGGCC